This 200-nucleotide microRNA precursor is filed under the name Oryza sativa Indica Group (long-grained rice). RNAcentral describes it as "MIR812 microRNA precursor family". It matches the Rfam family "MIR812 microRNA precursor family". The record is from Rfam by way of RNAcentral. Lineage: Eukaryota; Viridiplantae; Streptophyta; Magnoliopsida; Poales; Poaceae.
UUAAAGACAAAUUUUGGGUUUUCGUGUCCAACGUUUGACUGUCCAUCUUAUAUGAAAAUUUUUUAUAAUUACUAUUUUCAUUGUUGUUAGAUGAUAAAACAUGAUUAAUACUUUAUGCGUGACUUGUCUUUUUUUUAUAAUUUUUUAAAAUAAGACGGACGGUCAAACGUUGGACACGGAAAUUCAGGGUUUUUCUUUUU